CUCUCAUGUGACUAUUCUCCAGUUUCUUCAUGUUGGCAUUUAGUGCCAUGAACUUUCCUCUUAGCACUGCUUUCAAAAUGUCCUGUAAGUUUGGGUCGGAGAAUUCUGCAAGUCCAGACACAGAAAACCUCUAAUAAGAGCCUUCAUCCAGUAGCUGAUGGAAGCAGAAUUACAUACCCACAGCUAAACACUGAGCCGAACUCCUGCAAUCCAGUUGCAGGGAGCAAGGAGUGAUGAGCAAAGGUGUCAAGAGCAUGCUGGUGUAACCUACAGAAACAUCUGACCUGAACAAGGAGGAGCUCAUGGACCACAGACUGACAGCUGGGAAACCAGCACAGGACUGACCCUGUGCUGAUCCCUGAUCAUGGGUGUCAGUUAGGAGGCCUGAGCAAUCUAUGGGGCCUCUGGCAGUGAAUCAGUAUUCAUCCCUAGUAUAUGAAUGGACUUUGGGAGCCCAUUCAACAUAGAGGCAUACUCUCUCAGCCUAGAUACACAGGGAGGGCCUAGGCCCUGCUCCAAAUGAUAUGACAGACUUUGAAGAUUCCCCCAAGGAAGGCCCCAUCUUCCUUGGGGAGCAGAAGAGGGAUGGGAUGGGGGUUGGUGGAGGCAGGGGAGAAGAGGAGGGAGAGGGAACUGGGAUUGACAUGUAAGACAAGCUUGUUUCUAAUUUAAAUUUUUUUUAAAAAGUUUGUCAUUUACCAGGUAUUGCCCAAGAGAUAACAUAAGAAUUUAUAGACACUCAGAAGAGUUUUCAAGUAGAACAGCUCUUAAAAGAUUGUAAUUAUUUUAGAGACAUUUCGGAUUUCUGAAAAAUUACAUAGUAUUAUUACAAUCUUUUGGCCAACAUGCCAUUCCCCCUUGUGGUAGUUUGAUAAAAAUGUCCCUUGUAGGUUCAUAUAUUUUAAUGAUUAGUCACCAGUUAGUAGAACUAAUAAGGAUUAGGAGUUAUGGCCUGGUUGGAGAACAUUGUGUCACUAGGGUUGGGCUUUGAGGUUUUAAAAGCCCAUGCCAGACCCAGUGUUUGUCUCUGUGACUAUGGUUCAGGUUGUAAAACUCUUAGUUACUAUUCCAAUGUCAUGUCUCUUUGCUUCCCACCAUUACAGCCAUGAAUUAACCCUCUAAAACUGUAAGCAAGGCCCCAAUUAAAUGUUUUUUUUUCUUAUAAGAGUUGGUUUGGUCAUGGCAUCUCUUCAUAUGAAUGGAACAUUACUAAAACACCACUACUAAUAGCUUCUACUGGUAAAGUAUAUCUGUACUAUUUGAACAAUAUUGAUUUAUAAUCCUUUACUAAAGAUUGACUAGAAUUCAGUUUUGUAUUCUACUGUGGUUUUAUUUCUUCUUUGCCUUUCUGUCCAUUUGGUUUUGAAAAUUGCAAAAUAAUAUUUAUGUGUGAUAAUAGCAUAAUAUACAAUGUAUUUUCUUCUGAGAGUCCACAAUUCUCAACCUAUUCAUCCCUUCCUACUGUUACAAUAAAC
This 1475-nucleotide long non-coding RNA is filed under the name Cricetulus griseus (Chinese hamster). RNAcentral's name for it is "lncRNA (ENSCGRG00015029505.1)". The record is from RNAcentral. Lineage: Eukaryota; Metazoa; Chordata; Mammalia; Rodentia; Cricetidae.